This 64-nucleotide transfer RNA is filed under the name Morinia doronici. Its description in RNAcentral is "tRNA-Gly". Lineage: Eukaryota; Metazoa; Arthropoda; Insecta; Diptera; Polleniidae. The record is from RNAcentral.
AUCUACAUAGUAUAAAAAGUAUAUUUGACUUCCAAUCAAAUGGUCUAUAAUAAUAGUAUAGAUA